Non-coding RNA from Serratia sp. M24T3, 299 nucleotides. The record is from Rfam. NCBI's taxonomy places the organism in Bacteria, Pseudomonadati, Pseudomonadota, Gammaproteobacteria, Enterobacterales, Yersiniaceae.
AAGGGCCUUUUCGCCACCUUAAGCAAGUGGGCAUCGGGUUUAGAAAAGGAUUUCUAACGGCCGUAAACGCAGGCGCAGAUUAGUGCUUGUUUCACGGUGUUAUCUCCGGUGGUGGUUCCGUGAAGCGGUCUGAGCAAGGACCGCGCAAUGAAAAGAUACCUCUGUAUCUUCAUCAUUGUUUCGGCUGUGGCGGUGAGCCUCGGAAAGGGGAGCUGGAAUAUUUCCAAUAACUCUCUCAACGUGAUCAUUACUACAACGAGCAAGUAAGCUAAUAGCCACCUGAGAGGGUGGCUAUUUUC